UACGUAGGUGGCGAGCGUUGUCCGGAUUUACUGGGCGUAAAGGGAGCGUAGGCGGACUUUUAAGUGAGAUGUGAAAUACUCGGGCUCAACUUGAGUGCUGCAUUUCAAACUGGAAGUCUAGAGUGCAAGAGAGGAGAAUGGAAUUCCUAGUGUAGCGGUGAAAUGCGUAGAGAUUAGGAUGAACACCAGUGGCGAAGGCGAUUCUCUGGACUGUAACUGACGCUGAGGCUCGAAAGCGUGGGGAGCAAACAGG
RNAcentral lists this ribosomal RNA (253 nucleotides) under uncultured bacterium. Its description in RNAcentral is "partial 16S ribosomal RNA". It matches the Rfam family "Bacterial small subunit ribosomal RNA", at positions 524 to 776 of the family's 1533-position model. The record is from RNAcentral.